This 451-nucleotide ribosomal RNA is filed under the name uncultured bacterium. Its description in RNAcentral is "bacterial SSU rRNA". It matches the Rfam family "Bacterial small subunit ribosomal RNA", at positions 365 to 832 of the family's 1533-position model. The record is from RNAcentral.
UUCGCAAUGCCCGAAAGGGUGACGGAGCGACGCCGCGUGUGGGACGAAGCCCUUCGGGGUGUAAACCACUGUCAGGGGACAGAAAGUUCUGAUCGUCCCCAGAGGAAGGCACGGCUAACUCUGUGCCAGCAGCCGCGGUAAGACAGAGGUGCCAAGCGUUAGGCGGAAUCACUGGGCUUAAAGCGCGUGUAGGCGGGUGAGCGCGUCCGUCGCUGAAAUCCCCCGGCUCAACCGGGGAACUGGCGUGGAUACGGCUCGCCUGGAGGGGCGUAGGGGGACCUGGAACUUCCGGUGGAGCGGUGAAAUGCGUUGAGAUCGGAAGGAACGCCCGUGGCGAAAGCGAGGUCCUGGACGCCUACUGACGCUGAGACGCGAAAGCCAGGGGAGCGAACGGGACUAGAUACCCCGGUAGUCCUGGCCGUAAACGAUGGGCACUAAGUAGAGGGGUUUU